CCCUUAGAUGUUCUGGGCUGCACGCGCGCUACACUGACGGAGCCAGCGAGCGUGUCCUUCGCCGAAAGGUGCGGGUAAUCUUGGCAGCCUCCGUCGUGCUGGGGAUAGAUGGUUGCAAUUAUUGAUCUUGAACGGGGAAUUCCUAGUAAGCGCGAGUCACCAGCUCGCGUUGAUUACGUCCCUGCCCUUUGUACACACCGCCCGUCGCUACUACCGAUUGGAUGGUCCGGUGAAGCCUCGGGAUUGUGGUUCUUGCCGCUUUAUUGUGGCGUGACCGCGAGAACUUGUCUAAACCUUAUCAUCUAGAGGAAGGUGAAGUCGUAACA
This 326-nucleotide ribosomal RNA is filed under the name uncultured eukaryote. RNAcentral describes it as "partial 18S ribosomal RNA". It matches the Rfam family "Eukaryotic small subunit ribosomal RNA", at positions 1470 to 1796 of the family's 1831-position model. The record is from RNAcentral.